RNAcentral lists this ribosomal RNA (433 nucleotides) under uncultured bacterium. Its description in RNAcentral is "partial 16S ribosomal RNA". It matches the Rfam family "Bacterial small subunit ribosomal RNA", at positions 29 to 507 of the family's 1533-position model. The record is from RNAcentral.
AACGAACGCUGGCGGCAUGCCUAACACAUGCAAGUCGAACGAGACCUUCGGGUCUAGUGGCGCACGGGUGCGUAACGCGUGGGAACCUGCCCUUAGGUUCAGAAUAACUCCCCGAAAGGGGUGCUAAUACCGGAUAAUGUCUUCGGACCAAAGAUUUAUCGCCUUUGGAUGGGCCCGCGUUGGAUUAGCUAGUUGGUAGGGUAAAAGCCUACCAAGGCGACGAUCCAUAGCUGGUCUGAGAGGAUGAUCAGCCACACUGGGACUGAGACACGGCCCAGACUCCUACGGGAGGCAGCAGUGGGGAAUAUUGGACAAUGGGCGAAAGCAUGAUCCAGCAAUGCCGCGUGAGUGAUGAAGGCCUUAGGGUUGUAAAGCUCUUUUACCCGGGAUGAUAAUGACAGUACCGGGAGAAUAAGCUCCGGCUAACUCCGUG